GGUUACGGCCAAACCCCCCUGAGCACGCCCGAUCUUGUCCGAUCUCGGAAGCUAAGCAGGGUCGGGCCCGGUUAGUACUUGGAUGGGAGACCGCCUGGGAAUACCAGGUGCUGUAAGCCU
Molecule: ribosomal RNA, 120 nt
Filed under: Esox lucius (northern pike)
Lineage: Eukaryota; Metazoa; Chordata; Actinopteri; Esociformes; Esocidae
Source: RNAcentral